AGCCGCAAUUCGUGSUAAGGUAGCAUAAUCACUUGUUCUUUAAAUAAGGACUAGAACAAAAGAUUUAACAUUUCAAUAAAUUUCUUUAAUUCUAAAAUUAAAUUUAUUCUAAAUGUAAAAAGACAAUUAUAUUACAGAAAGACGACAAGACCCUACCGAACUUUACUUUAGUUUUACUGGGGCAGUAAAUUAAUUAUAAUUUUAAUUUAAUUAAAAUAUUAUUAAUCCAAUUUCAUUGAUUAAAUCAGUUACCAUAGGGAUAACAGUGCAAUAAUUAUUUAAAGUUCUCAUUUAAAAAAUAGAUUGCAACCUCGAUGUUGAAUUAAUAGCCUAUUUAAAAGCAAUAUUUAUAAAAGGAAGUCUGUUCGACUUUUAAAAAAUUACAUGAUUUGAGUUCAGACCGGUAUAAGCCAGGUCGGUUUCUAUCUUCUUAAAUUUUUCUUUACAGUACGAAAGGACCUAUAGAUAUAUAUUAUAUAUCUUAUUAGCAAAUAAAUGCAUUAGAAUUAGAAUCUAAUUAAAUA
RNAcentral lists this ribosomal RNA (524 nucleotides) under Sarinda aff. capibarae SRCIR. RNAcentral's name for it is "partial 16S ribosomal RNA". The stretch from base 136 to 431 matches the Rfam family "Bacterial large subunit ribosomal RNA", at positions 2074 to 2646 of the family's 2925-position model. The record is from RNAcentral. Lineage: Eukaryota; Metazoa; Arthropoda; Arachnida; Araneae; Salticidae.